AGCUAACAGCUGACGGUUGCUUCCGUAAAGAGCUAGUAGGAAAUUGACGAAUCUGGAAAUUGAUCUCGGAGGGUUUCCCCCGUGAACAGCUGAAGCCCGAAAAAUAGCCGUUGACAGCUCGGAGCAUCGGUCAGUUUUUUUUUGUGCUUGUAUGAUACACUUUUGGCCUGGAGGGCCAGAGAUUCCCAGAUCCUCUUCUCCUGAACCUGGAUGGCGAGCCCCAGCCCAGAGGACCAGGCGCACAGGGAAACAGUCCAGUCCUAUCUGAAUUUCUGUGGAAAAGUAUUUUUUGUCCUGGGAAAGUCUGACAGAAGCAAGA
Gambusia affinis (western mosquitofish) is the source of this 319-nucleotide long non-coding RNA. RefSeq lists it as uncharacterized. The record is from RefSeq and is a predicted model, not a curated record. The transcript is spliced from 4 exons. NCBI's taxonomy places the organism in Eukaryota, Metazoa, Chordata, Actinopteri, Cyprinodontiformes, Poeciliidae.